This 869-nucleotide long non-coding RNA is filed under the name Brassica rapa (field mustard). RNAcentral's name for it is "long non-coding RNA (BRAP_LNC005808)". Lineage: Eukaryota; Viridiplantae; Streptophyta; Magnoliopsida; Brassicales; Brassicaceae. The record is from RNAcentral.
AAACCCCAUCUAUACUGAGUUUUUGAUAUUUUUUUCUGUGAUUUGAAUUUAAAAAAAGAUAAAACUUUCGAUAAGUUAUGUAAACUCAGAACAAGUAUUUAGCUUUAGAAAACAUUUACAUGUUUCAAACUUAUAAUAUAUACAUAUAUAAUGUUUAAAAUUAUGCAGAUAAAACCUGUGUAAAAUGUGUCUGAAUAUGUUUCUCUUCUUUAAUGUGUUAAUCGUACUAUAUAUAACAUUAUUUUAAAAUUUCAAAAAGUUUAUGUCACAUACAAAAAACCAUCAAUAAAAAAUAUAAUUUUCCAUCUACAACAAAAAAAAACUAUAAACAUAUAAAUUUAAAUUAAGAAAAACUAACAUUGGAAAAAUAAGAAAUUAAUGUAAAAGAAAAAAACCGACAAAUAAUAUUAUAAAUAAAAUAAAAUUUAUAAGACACAAAUAAAAACCGACAAAUAAUAUUAAAAAAAUCUCUAGUCUAUAAUAUAAUAGGAGAGUUUCUCUACUCCUGAGCCGUCACGUCAGCAUUUUGGUGGAUUCCACUUUUAAAAAGUGUGAAAAAGUGUCAAGUAUGUGACUCGAACCCGGAUUAUUGAGAUAUAAGCUACAACAUUUAUACCACUGAACUAAAGGAUACUUUGUACAUUGAUGGCCGAAACUAAUAUAUAUUUAUGAAGGUCGGAAACCUUUGCUUCUUCAGUUUUCUCUGUGGGCCGGACCUACAAAUGUAUUAUGAGUUUCAUCACGUUAUAUGAAAAAAAAACAAUUAUAGUUUUUCCAUAUUGUAAACUGUCUUCGUUUAACAUGAGUUGGGGUUCUUUUCAUUAUUUAUGCGUUCUAAUAACAGUUUUACGCCUUCAGCAAGUUGUGGG